UGCAGUCGAACGCUUCUUUUCCCACCGGAGCUUGCUCCACCGGGAAAAGAGGAGUGGCGAACGGGUGAGUAACACGUGGGUAACCUGCCCAUCAGAAGGGGAUAACACUUGGAAACAGGUGCUAAUACCGUAUAACAAUCGAAACCGCAUGGUUUCGUUUUGAAAGGCGCUUUACGGUGCCGCUGAUGGAUGGACCCGCGGUGCAUUAGCUAGUUGGUGAGGUAACGGCUCACCAAGGCCACGAUGCAUAGCCGACCUGAGAGGGUGAUCGGCCACAUUGGGACUGAGACACGGCCCAAACUCCUACGGGAGGCAGCAGUAGGGAAUCUUCGGCAAUGGACGAAAGUCUGACCGAGCAACGCCGCGUGAGUGAAGAAGGUUUUCGGAUCGUAAAACUCUGUUGUUAGAGAAGAACAAGGGUGAGAGUAACUGUUCACCCCUUGACGGUAUCUAACCAGAAAGCCACGGCUAACUACGUGCCAGCAGCCGCGGUAAUACGUAGGUGGCAAGCGUUGUCCGGAUUUAUUGGGCGUAAAGCGAGCGCAGGCGGUUUCUUAAGUCUGAUGUGAAAGCCCCCGGCUCAACCGGGGAGGGUCAUUGGAAACUGGGAGACUUGAGUGCAGAAGAGGAGAGUGGAAUUCCAUGUGUAGCGGUGAAAUGCGUAGAUAUAUGGAGGAACACCAGUGGCGAAGGCGGGUCUCUGGCCUGUAGCUGACGCUGAGGCUCGAAAGCGCGCUGAGCAA
This 743-nucleotide ribosomal RNA is filed under the name Enterococcus mundtii. RNAcentral describes it as "bacterial SSU rRNA". It matches the Rfam family "Bacterial small subunit ribosomal RNA", at positions 56 to 771 of the family's 1533-position model. Lineage: Bacteria; Bacillati; Bacillota; Bacilli; Lactobacillales; Enterococcaceae. The record is from RNAcentral.